Molecule: ribosomal RNA, 610 nt
Filed under: Escherichia coli
Lineage: Bacteria; Pseudomonadati; Pseudomonadota; Gammaproteobacteria; Enterobacterales; Enterobacteriaceae
Description: partial 23S ribosomal RNA
Rfam family: Bacterial large subunit ribosomal RNA
Source: RNAcentral
AAUGGGUCAGCGACUUAUAUUCUGUAGCAAGGUUAACCGAAUAGGGGAGCCGAAGGGAAACCGAGUCUUAACUGGGCGUUAAGUUGCAGGGUAUAGACCCGAAACCCGGUGAUCUAGCCAUGGGCAGGUUGAAGGUUGGGUAACACUAACUGGAGGACCGAACCGACUAAUGUUGAAAAAUUAGCGGAUGACUUGUGGCUGGGGGUGAAAGGCCAAUCAAACCGGGAGAUAGCUGGUUCUCCCCGAAAGCUAUUUAGGUAGCGCCUCGUGAAUUCAUCUCCGGGGGUAGAGCACUGUUUCGGCAAGGGGGUCAUCCCGACUUACCAACCCGAUGCAAACUGCGAAUACCGGAGAAUGUUAUCACGGGAGACACACGGCGGGUGCUAACGUCCGUCGUGAAGAGGGAAACAACCCAGACCGCCAGCUAAGGUCCCAAAGUCAUGGUUAAGUGGGAAACGAUGUGGGAAGGCCCAGACAGCCAGGAUGUUGGCUUAGAAGCAGCCAUCAUUUAAAGAAAGCGUAAUAGCUCACUGGUCGAGUCGGCCUGCGCGGAAGAUGUAACGGGGCUAAACCAUGCACCGAAGCUGCGGCAGCGACACUAUGUGUUGUU